UUGAGCUGUAUGCGGGGAAACUCGCACGUACAGUUCUUAGGGGAGGGAGGCUCAGUAAUGAGCUUCUCUUACCCGAC
Marinomonas spartinae is the source of this 77-nucleotide non-coding RNA. Lineage: Bacteria; Pseudomonadati; Pseudomonadota; Gammaproteobacteria; Oceanospirillales; Oceanospirillaceae. The record is from Rfam.